AGCGAACGCUGGCGGCAGGCCUAACACAUGCAAGUCGAACGAACUCUUCGGGGUUAGUGGCGGACGGGUGAGUAACACGUGGGAACGUGCCUUUUGGUUCGGAAUAACUCAGGGAAACUUGUGCUAAUACCGAAUGUGCCCUUCGGGGGAAAGAUUUAUCGCCAUUAGAGCGGCCCGCGUCUGAUUAGCUAGUUGGUGAGGUAACGGCUCACCAAGGCGACGAUCAGUAGCUGGUCUGAGAGGAUGACCAGCCACACUGGGACUGAGACACGGCCCAGACUCCUACGGGAGGCAGCAGUGGGGAAUCUUGCGCAAUGGGCGAAAGCCUGACGCAGCCAUGCCGCGUGAAUGAUGAAGGUCUUAGGAUUGUAAAAUUCUUUCACCGGGGACGAUAAUGACGGUACCCGGAGAAGAAGCCCCGGCUAACUUCGUG
RNAcentral lists this ribosomal RNA (433 nucleotides) under uncultured bacterium. RNAcentral describes it as "partial 16S ribosomal RNA". It matches the Rfam family "Bacterial small subunit ribosomal RNA", at positions 29 to 507 of the family's 1533-position model. The record is from RNAcentral.